UCCCUCGUGGCGCAAUUGGCUAGCUAGCGCGUCAGAUUGUUAUCGAAUAUCGUGGUAUCUGGAGGUUGGUGGUUCAAGCUUACCUGGGGGAG
Molecule: non-coding RNA, 92 nt
Organism: Lasiosphaeris hirsuta
Lineage: Eukaryota; Fungi; Ascomycota; Sordariomycetes; Sordariales; Lasiosphaeriaceae
Source: the annotation of a GenBank genome assembly